GGUUUCUGGGUGUUACAAACAGCCACCAUUGAAGACUCUAUCUCCCGAAAUUUUUAAGGAUGAGUCAUUGACUAUUGGUGGUCAAGUUAAAGCAAGAGGUCAGGUAUUAAAGAGACGAGAUGAAGCUAGAUGUCGGGUAAGAUGUGAUGUGACAUAGGUUUUUGGAAAUAGUUGAUGGUUGUUUUUUAAUUAAAUUGGCUAUUUUUAAUAUGUUUGGUUGACUACCAUGUUGUGCAACCUCCAAAUACUACUUGUCGUGUCGAGACCUUUGGGAGAAUAUGUCAAACCUUUGAUGAUCGUAGGACUAGGUGGGUUGUGGAGAUGGGGUUUGGAGGGCUUUUACAUUUUGCCGGAGGCAUGCACCUCCCAAGGCAGUUAUCUUAUUGGCUAAUGACUUGUAUUGAUCCUUUGAACUACACAUUUAGAACUUUAGAUGGUAGGGUCAUUGGUCUUUCAAAAAAUCAAGUUCAUUGGGUUCUUGGUAUUCCCAAUAGAGGGAGGAGUGUACCAGGUUACAAAUCUAUAACGGAUGAUAAUAUGAUAAAGAUUCAUGAAAUAAUGGGCAGGUAUGGUAAAGCAUGGAUUAGUAAAUCAAACAAAACAGGUCGACAGUAUAAGUCUCAGGGUAUCCUAGUGGAUAGGAAAUUAAUGGAGAGGGUUGAGGGUUACUGGGGAGAAGAGGAGGGAGAUGAAUUUAAGAUGUUGUUCUUGCUACUUUCACAGGAGUUGUUGUGUCCUACUCAGUCCUCUAGACUGGCCUCAGAUUUAGUUCCGUCGUUAACGUGUGCCCCUCUAGCUUCAGAAUACGACUGGUGCAGUCUUGUCUUGAAGAAGCUUAUGGACAACGUAGCCACAUUUGCAAGGAGGUUUUAUGCUAGUGGUUACGCUAGUGGGUGCGGAGGAUGUUUAAUAUUUGCUGUGGUGUUUUAUCUUGAUCGGCUUGACAGGCAACCGGUGAGUUGGGGCGUGUUCUCGAGGAUUCAAGCUUGGACUAUGAAUGAGAUUCGUUUUGCUGUGAAGGAGGACCACAUGCCAGAUGGUGGUGACUUUGGGGUUCUUGGUAGUUUGGAUGUGGCUUAUGGUGAAUCGCAUCCACUAUUAGCAAGGGACACACAAGGGCCUGAGAUUGAGUUGCAGGUGAACUUGGUUGCAUUUGGUAGGACAUGGAAAAGGAAGAUGCCCACACCAAGGCGUGUGGCUAUGAGAAAGAACUUGCGACAAUAUUGAAUACUAGAUGAUGAAAUAGAAUGUGUAUUUUGCCAUUCUUUAUCGAGUUGCCGUACAUUGAAUGCUAGUGAACUGAACCGCUGCCAGGGUACACGAGUUUUGGAAAUAGUUGUAUUGAUUCAUGACCGUAUAAAGAGGUCUUUAUGUGACGAUGCUGUUAACGCUUGUGAAAUGGUUCAUUUGAUUGCUGGGAAUCAAUCCUUAUUUGACCGACAACAUGUAAACCAUGCAGUGCAAAGGAUGAAGCGAGGCAUUGUUAUCUUCUCUGGGGGUGUUGGAAUACAUUCACUUUGUACGGACACUAUGAGAAAGCUGAUAGAAAGCGGGUGUUGCGGAGCCAUGGCCCUUGUGUCUCAUGUUAUUGAAGCCGGAAUUGAUAGGAACGACACAAAGAUGGCCCGCUUAGCAGUGUUCUUGAAGCGGCGGUGUGUUCUUGAAUUGUACAGCACACAGUCACAGUCUUUAUUUGUAUUUGUUAAAAAAAGGAUUUUGAAUUUUGAUCAUCUGUGUGUAGAGCUUGGUCUUCGAUCACAUA
RNA transcript from Chenopodium quinoa (quinoa), 1762 nucleotides. RefSeq lists it as uncharacterized. The transcript has 9 exons. NCBI's taxonomy places the organism in Eukaryota, Viridiplantae, Streptophyta, Magnoliopsida, Caryophyllales, Amaranthaceae. The record is from RefSeq and is a predicted model, not a curated record.